Molecule: ribosomal RNA, 254 nt
Filed under: uncultured bacterium
Lineage: Bacteria
Description: partial 16S ribosomal RNA
Rfam family: Bacterial small subunit ribosomal RNA
Source: RNAcentral
UACGAAGGGGGCUAGCGUUGCUCGGAAUCACUGGGCGUAAAGCGCACGUAGGCGGACUCUUAAGUCGGUGGUGAAAUCCUGGAGCUUAACUCCAGAACUGCCUUCGAUACUGGGAGUCUCGAGUCCGGGGAGAGGUGAGUGGAACUGCGAGUGUAGAGGUGAAAUUCGUAGAUAUUCGCAAGAACACCAGUGGCGAAGGCGGCUCACUGGCCCGGUACUGACGCUGAGGUGCGAAAGCGUGGGGAGCAAACAGG